This is an RNA transcript of Carya illinoinensis, 1590 nucleotides long. RefSeq lists it as uncharacterized. NCBI's taxonomy places the organism in Eukaryota, Viridiplantae, Streptophyta, Magnoliopsida, Fagales, Juglandaceae. The record is from RefSeq and is a predicted model, not a curated record. The transcript has 6 exons.
CGUUAAUCCUUCAUUUGGUUCUAAACCAGGCUGAGGUAUCUCCAAGCCAUGCUUACUCGCCAGUUUUCUUUUAAUCCAAACCACCCAAUGAACACUCAAUCCUCCUGCAUAGAAAUGCUCCCAAAAGUCACCUGAAAUCCUCUGGCUAGUCAUAGGGCUAGCAACAGUGCCGGAUGCAGAUAACUUUUAUAAGACCGCCUUGGGCCAAUUUCAGGGAGUUCAUGUCAAACAUGACCAUUUAGCAUUGGCGGAAAGUACGCGAAAGCUGUUGACAGUUGAAUAGCUUCACAUGGAUGGCUCAUUUCGCGUACUUGACAGUUGAAUAGCUUCACAUGGAUGGCUCACCUCGAUCAUUUCAAACUCGUCCCAACCACUUGUCCGACCAUCGUGGUGAAACGAGACAAUGGCGAGUGCUUUGAGAACUGGAAAUAUGUUACAAAAAUAAAUUUAUGAUUCUCACAAUUUUAUAUAUUUUCUGAAAUUUAACGUACAGAAUGGGCAACAAGGGUGUGCUCUCUCUCCCGCGCGCGCACACAUGUACCAGGGCUAUCAGUCACCGUAGCUAUGACGACGAGUGAAGAGAAGUCAUCGAACAAGGAAGGGAACAACCUGCUGGCCGCACCGACCUUCACAGAGCUCGUGAAUGGCCGCUUCAAGUGUGUGGAGACUGGUCACGAAGUGCUCGCCAAAGACAUGGAAUCCUACUCUCCGUCCAAACGGUGUCGUUUGGGUCUCAUCGACGUCGCUAUGUCCCAAAACAAACCUCCACUCAACAUGUUCAAGCAAGAUCCUCUUUCCCGUUCAAAGUUGAUAUGUAAGCUGACGGGAGACACCAUAAAUAAGUGCGAGGAACAUAUAUGGAAGCACAUCAAUGGCAAACGAUUCCUUAACAAAUUAGAGGAUAAGGAAGCAGAAAAGUUAACCUCAGAUGGAAAUUCAGUAGAGAAGAGUGGGCAGAAGCCCCAAAAAGCAGCAAAACCGGCCACGGAUGGUAUAAUGAAGAAGAAGAAGAAGAAGAAGAAGAAGGAAAAAGACAAAGGAAUUGAUGAGAUUAUCUCUGCAGUCAGGAAUUUGUCUGAUGAGAGCACUGAUUCAGAAGAAGCUGAUUUCUGGAUGCCUCUUGUGGGAGAACACUGCAAUUUUGAUGAUGGAGGAGUUCGAUGGUGUUGCCGUUCAGAGUUGGGGCAGGAAAUCGAUGAAGUUAAUGGAAUGGUCUUUGGGCUUUCAGAAUAUCGUUAUCUCAUUCUCUCAAACCCAUGUUACUGAAUUUGAUGGUAUAUUGUUAUCAUCGAUGGUCCAGCUGAAGAAGGUGGCAAGGAGACAGAAGAGCUCUCUAUGCGUACAAAAAGAAUGUCCAUUGAAAUUGGACCUAGCAGUUUUGCCUCAAGGAAGAAAAGGUGCAAGAAGAAUCUGACAAAUUAAUCUGCUCAUCACAAUUUACUGCUAGCAAUUUGUUGGAAAAUGAAGCUUUUGAAGUUUCUCCUAUGUAAAUAAUUUACUUAAUGUACGAGCACAAAAAUUUUGAAGUUUUGGUUGUAAGCAUUCUAUCAAAUUUUGGUGGUGUAUUAAUGCAUGUUCGUAUGGUAUCAA